RNAcentral lists this ribosomal RNA (253 nucleotides) under uncultured bacterium. RNAcentral describes it as "partial 16S ribosomal RNA". It matches the Rfam family "Bacterial small subunit ribosomal RNA", at positions 524 to 776 of the family's 1533-position model. The record is from RNAcentral.
UACGUAGGGCGCAAGCGUUGUCCGGAAUUAUUGGGCGUAAAGAGCUCGUAGGUGGCUUGUCACGUCGGGUGUGAAAGCUUGGGGCUUAACUCCAGGUCUGCAUUCGAUACGGGCUGGCUAGAGGUAGGUAGGGGAGAACGGAAUUCCUGGUGUAGCGGUGAAAUGCGCAGAUAUCAGGAGGAACACCGGUGGCGAAGGCGGUUCUCUGGGCCUUACCUGACGCUGAGGAGCGAAAGCGUGGGGAGCAAACAGG